UACGAAGGGGGCUAGCGUUGCUCGGAAUUACUGGGCGUAAAGCGCACGUAGGUGGUUUACUAAGCCAGCUGUGAAAUCCCCGGGCUCAACCUGGGCACUGCAGUUGGAACUGGUAAGCUAGAGUAGGGUAGAGGGGUGUGGAAUUCCAGGUGUAGCGGUGAAAUGCGUAGAUAUCUGGAGGAACAUCAGUGGCGAAGGCGACACCCUGGACUCAUACUGACACUGAGGUGCGAAAGCGUGGGGAGCAAACAGG
This 253-nucleotide ribosomal RNA is filed under the name uncultured bacterium. RNAcentral's name for it is "partial 16S ribosomal RNA". It matches the Rfam family "Bacterial small subunit ribosomal RNA", at positions 524 to 776 of the family's 1533-position model. The record is from RNAcentral.